GGGGGGUUAGCUCAGCUGGGAGAGCGCCUGCUUUGCACGCAGGAGGUCAGCGGUUCGAUCCCGCUACUCUCCACCA
This 76-nucleotide transfer RNA is filed under the name Phocicoccus pinnipedialis. RNAcentral describes it as "Jeotgalicoccus pinnipedialis tRNA-Ala". It matches the Rfam family "tRNA". Rfam says of the family: Transfer RNA (tRNA) molecules are approximately 80 nucleotides in length. Their secondary structure includes four short double-helical elements and three loops (D, anti-codon, and T loops). Further hydrogen bonds mediate the characteristic L-shaped molecular structure. tRNAs have two regions of fundamental functional importance: the anti-codon, which is responsible for specific mRNA codon recognition, and the 3' end, to which the tRNAs corresponding amino acid is attached (by aminoacyl-tRNA synthetases). tRNAs cope with the degeneracy of the genetic code in two manners: having more than one tRNA (with a specific anti-codon) for a particular amino acid; and 'wobble' base-pairing, i.e. permitting non-standard base-pairing at the 3rd anti-codon position. RNAcentral also lists the same sequence under 7 other names. The record is from RNAcentral. Lineage: Bacteria; Bacillati; Bacillota; Bacilli; Caryophanales; Salinicoccaceae.